GACGUAGGGCGCGAGCGUUGUCCGGAAUUAUUGGGCGUAAAGAGCUCGUAGGCGGCUCGUUGCGUCGGCUUGUGAAAACCCGCCGGCUCAACCGGUGGCUUGCAGCCGAUACGGGCAGGCUAGAGUUCGGUGAGGGGAGGACUGGAAUUCUGGUGGUAGCGGUGAAAUGCGCAGAUAUCAGGAGGAACACCGGUGGCGAAGGCGGGUCUCUGGGCCGAUACUGACGCUGAGGAGCGAAAGCGUGGGGAGCGAACAGG
Molecule: ribosomal RNA, 257 nt
Filed under: uncultured bacterium
Lineage: Bacteria
Description: partial 16S ribosomal RNA
Rfam family: Bacterial small subunit ribosomal RNA
Source: RNAcentral